RNAcentral lists this ribosomal RNA (555 nucleotides) under uncultured bacterium. RNAcentral's name for it is "partial 16S ribosomal RNA". It matches the Rfam family "Bacterial small subunit ribosomal RNA", at positions 355 to 902 of the family's 1533-position model. The record is from RNAcentral.
UGGGGAAUUUUGGACAAUGGGCGAAAGCCUGAUCCAGCAAUGCCGCGUGUGUGAAGAAGGCCUUCGGGUUGUAAAGCACUUUUGUCCGGAAAGAAAUCCUUGGCUCUAAUACAGUCGGGGGAUGACGGUACCGGAAGAAUAAGCACCGGCUAACUACGUGCCAGCAGCCGCGGUAAUACGUAGGGUGCAAGCGUUAAUCGGAAUUACUGGGCGUAAAGCGUGCGCAGGCGGUUUGCUAAGACCGAUGUGAAAUCCCCGGGCUCAACCUGGGAACUGCAUUGGUGACUGGCAGGCUAGAGUAUGGCAGAGGGGGGUAGAAUUCCACGUGUAGCAGUGAAAUGCGUAGAGAUGUGGAGGAAUACCGAUGGCGAAGGCAGCCCCCUGGGCCAAUNNUNGACGCUCAUGCACGAAAGCGUGGGGAGCAAACAGGAUUAGAUACCCUGGUAGUCCACGCCCUAAACGAUGUCAACUAGUUGUUGGGGAUUCAUUUCCUUAGUAACGUAGCUAACGCGUGAAGUUGACCGCCUGGGGAGUACGGUCGCAAGAUUAAAACUC